CUCGGCCGAAAAGAGGGAAACAACAAUUUAUGGAGUUCAGCAACCAUAUCUUCAAUUUCAGCAAGUCCUCCGACAUUGACCCAGCCAAUCCCAAUUUCUCGCAGUGGUCGAAGAAGCUCUGCGCAGUGCCGACCUUCAACGACAUCAUGAGCCCGGCCAAAUUUGACAACAUGUAUUUUCGCAACUCGCAGAGAGGGUUGGGUUUGUUAAGUACGGACCAGGCUUUGAUGACGGAUUGGAGGAUGAAGCCUCUUGUGGAUCUCUAA
This 266-nucleotide long non-coding RNA is filed under the name Prunus dulcis (almond). RNAcentral describes it as "sRNA ncRNA". The record is from RNAcentral. Lineage: Eukaryota; Viridiplantae; Streptophyta; Magnoliopsida; Rosales; Rosaceae.